RNAcentral lists this transfer RNA (73 nucleotides) under Felis catus (domestic cat). It matches the Rfam family "tRNA". Rfam says of the family: Transfer RNA (tRNA) molecules are approximately 80 nucleotides in length. Their secondary structure includes four short double-helical elements and three loops (D, anti-codon, and T loops). Further hydrogen bonds mediate the characteristic L-shaped molecular structure. tRNAs have two regions of fundamental functional importance: the anti-codon, which is responsible for specific mRNA codon recognition, and the 3' end, to which the tRNAs corresponding amino acid is attached (by aminoacyl-tRNA synthetases). tRNAs cope with the degeneracy of the genetic code in two manners: having more than one tRNA (with a specific anti-codon) for a particular amino acid; and 'wobble' base-pairing, i.e. permitting non-standard base-pairing at the 3rd anti-codon position. The record is from Rfam by way of RNAcentral. Lineage: Eukaryota; Metazoa; Chordata; Mammalia; Carnivora; Felidae.
CCCUGUUUGGUUCAGUUGGUAGAGCAUGUGAUUCUGAAUCUCAAGGUCAUGAAUUCAAAUCCCACAUUGGGUG